Long non-coding RNA from Oncorhynchus keta (chum salmon), 703 nucleotides. RefSeq lists it as uncharacterized. The transcript has 6 exons. NCBI's taxonomy places the organism in Eukaryota, Metazoa, Chordata, Actinopteri, Salmoniformes, Salmonidae. The record is from RefSeq and is a predicted model, not a curated record.
UGGGCAGUAGUCCAGGUGAAACUACACAUGACCACACAGCUGGGCAGUAGUCCAGGUGAAACUACACAUGACCACACAGCUGGGCAGUAGUCCAGGUGAAACUACACAUGACCACACAGCUGGGCAGUAGUCCAGGUGAAACUACACAUGACCACACAGCUGGGCAGUAGUCCAGGUGAAACUACACAUGACCACACAGCUGGGCAGUAGUCCAGGUGAAACUACACAUGACCACACAGCUGGGCAGUAGUCCAGGUGAAACUACACAUGACCCCACAGCUGGGCAGUAGUCCAGGUGAAACUACACAUGACCCCACAGCUGGGCAGUAGUCCAGGUGAAACUACACAUGACCCCACAGCUGGGCAGUAGUCCAGGUGAAACUACACAUGACCCCACAGCUGGGCAGUAGUCCAGGUGAAACUACACAUGACCACACAGCUGGGCAGUAGUCCAGGUGAAACUACACAUGACCCCACAGCUGGGCAGUAGUCCAGGUGAAACUACACAUGACCCCACAGCUGGGCAGUAGUCCAGGUGAAACUACACAUGACCCCACAGCUGGGCAGUAGUCCAGGUGAAACUACACAUGACCCCACAGCUGGGCAGUAGUCCAGGUGAAACUACACAUGACCCCACAGCUGGGCAGUAGUCCAGGUGAAACUACACAUGACCCCACAGCUGGGCAGUAGUCCAGGUGAAACA